AUCGGAAAUCAUCUUAUAUCGGCUAGUGACUAUAUCAGACUUGGCCCUUCUGCUCCGAAUGACGUAUAAGGUCGUCUAAAGUCAAAACAUCUCGUAUGAAGUUCGUCCAGGACGUAAACCUAACCAGUUUCUCGUCAAAAAUCAAGACACCGAUGAACCUGUUCAAGAGGGCACUUACGGA
This is a long non-coding RNA of Rhipicephalus microplus (southern cattle tick), 181 nucleotides long. NCBI's taxonomy places the organism in Eukaryota, Metazoa, Arthropoda, Arachnida, Ixodida, Ixodidae. The record is from RefSeq and is a predicted model, not a curated record.